Molecule: ribosomal RNA, 303 nt
Filed under: uncultured bacterium
Lineage: Bacteria
Description: partial 16S ribosomal RNA
Rfam family: Bacterial small subunit ribosomal RNA
Source: RNAcentral
AGCAGCCGCCGCGGGAAUACAGAGGGUGCGAGCGUUAAUCGGAUUUACUGGGCGUAAAGCGUGCGUAGGCGGCUAAUUGAGUCGGAUGUGAAAUCCCCGAGCUUAACUUGGGAAUUGCAUUCGAUACUGGUUAGCUAGAGUGUGGGAGAGGAUGGUAGAAUUCCAGGUGUAGCGGUGAAAUGCGUAGAGAUCUGGAGGAAUACCGAUGGCGAAGGCAGCCAUCUGGCCUAACACUGACGCUGAGGUACGAAAGCAUGGGGAGCAAACAGGAUUAGAUACCCGAGUAGUCCCUGUCUCUUAUAC